This is a long non-coding RNA of Lagopus leucura (white-tailed ptarmigan), 323 nucleotides long. RefSeq lists it as uncharacterized. Lineage: Eukaryota; Metazoa; Chordata; Aves; Galliformes; Phasianidae. The record is from RefSeq and is a predicted model, not a curated record. The transcript is spliced from 3 exons.
UGAAGCAGUGAUUGAGCACCUGGUGAGGGGUGUGGCCAGCCCUGCCAGCACAGGUGGAAGCAAUUUACCUGUGGGACCGGAUAGGGCUGAGCUUGGCUCCACCCCCUCCCUGCCCAUAUUUAAGGGCUGGGAACAGCAAGGGCAGCAUUCUGCUUGGGGACUGCCUUCUUGGGAGCAUUGGGAGUGAGUUCUGCCCUUUGGAAUGGGGUCUGUCAGCAGAAAGAGCAGCAACUGCACCUGGAGACUGCUUCCUUUAGAAUGUGGGGUGAACCCUUGAAACUGGGGCUGUGACCUUUCCUGUUUUUGGGGCAUCCUGACCACAU